This is a long non-coding RNA of Apus apus (common swift), 644 nucleotides long. RefSeq lists it as uncharacterized. NCBI's taxonomy places the organism in Eukaryota, Metazoa, Chordata, Aves, Apodiformes, Apodidae. The record is from RefSeq and is a predicted model, not a curated record. The transcript is spliced from 5 exons.
GUGCACUGAUGCUGCUUUGAAUCGCAGCGCCACCAAAUGCCAGGCUAGAACAAGGAGAACAAAGUAUUACACACAGGUCAUCACCAGGAUCAUUAAUGCAACCAAUCAGGAAAACCAGAAAUGGCCAGAAAAAUGAAAUCCUCCCCAUGAGACUCUGAACAGUUACAGUCAUCCUGAAGCAAACUCUACCAUAAUGAACUCACAUCUGGAAGUGACACAAGCUGUUUACCAACCCACAGAAAUAACAUCACAUGAAGCUGGCAAUAUGUGUGAGAAUGCAGUUAACAGCCAUGGACACAGUAUCUUCAGGAAAAAAUACUGUUACGAACAGAGACAAAAUGGAAUCCUGCCUGCUGAUGUUGGUGCACAAGAAGCUGGAAUGGAUCAUAGCCGGAGCAACAAGUCCAAAUUGGCCAACAGAAUAUUCCAUAUGAUAUGAAGUCAUGCUCAAUAUAUAAAGGGGGAGAAGAAGAAGGAAGCAAGGUUAAAAAGAAAGCAGCUGUUUCAGACCAGACCACCAGAGCCACUGUACUUUAUCAGAACUAUGGAAUGACGCUGAGCUUCAAAACCUUCCGUGUUCCUUCCUUCCCAGUCAUAUGGUAGAAAUAAAUAAUUUAAUCAAGUAGUCAUCAGGAGAGGGGAAU